GCUACACAUGCAGUCGAGCGAGAUCUUCGGAUCUAGCGGCGGACGGGUGAGUAACGCGUGGGAACGUGCCCUUUGCUACGGAAUAGUCCCGGGAAACUGGGUUUAAUACCGUAUACGCCCUUCGGGGGAAAGAUUUAUCGGCAAAGGAUCGGCCCGCGUUGGAUUAGGUAGUUGGUGGGGUAAUGGCCUACCAAGCCGACGAUCCAUAGCUGGUUUGAGAGGAUGAUCAGCCACACUGGGACUGAGACACGGCCCAGACUCCUACGGGAGGCAGCAGUGGGGAAUCUUAGACAAUGGGGGCAACCCUGAUCUAGCCAUGCCGCGUGAGUGAUGAAGGCCUUAGGGUUGUAAAGCUCUUUCAGCUGGGAAGAUAAUGACGGUACCAGCAGAAGAAGCCCCGGCUAACUCCGUGCCAGCAGCCGCGGUAAUACGGAGGGGGCUAGCGUUGUUCGGAAUUACUGGGCGUAAAGCGCACGUAGGCGGAUUGAAAAGUUGGGGGUGAAAUCCCGGGGCUCAACCUCGGACUGCCUCCAAAACUAUCAGUCUAGAGUUCGAGAGAGG
RNAcentral lists this ribosomal RNA (561 nucleotides) under bacterium fme09x24p118. RNAcentral describes it as "bacterial SSU rRNA". It matches the Rfam family "Bacterial small subunit ribosomal RNA", at positions 48 to 657 of the family's 1533-position model. The record is from RNAcentral.